Helianthus annuus (common sunflower) is the source of this 351-nucleotide long non-coding RNA. RefSeq lists it as uncharacterized. Lineage: Eukaryota; Viridiplantae; Streptophyta; Magnoliopsida; Asterales; Asteraceae. The record is from RefSeq and is a predicted model, not a curated record. The transcript is spliced from 2 exons.
GAUAAUAAUGGGAGUUCAAAACAGGAGCUGGAGAAUAAUUUGACGACUUGGGUUGUUUGUUCCAUUAUAGGUUUUCAUAAUUUUUAUUAUUCGGCCACUCAUCAAACAUCUGCAAAGCCAAAUCGUUGAUAAAGUGGAAGUAUUUCUUAAGAUCAUCAAUGGAGAGAGGUUCAUCAAUGAGGCGCCUAAGGCGCUUGUGCUAAAAGCCGUAUUAAUUCCUACAACCAUCAAACAUAUGUUAUUGUACUUGUGUGUAGAUUAUUUUUUUCUUUUUUAUCACUUUUUAUUGUUUUCAUGGCUUUAGCGGCAUGUAAAAAUUUUCCAGCAUUUGAAUAGUUUUCUGUUUUUUUU